UAGUGUUUUUUAUAAUUUUGCUCAGGAUGAACGCUGGCGGCGUGCCUAAUACAUGCAAGUCGAACGCACAGCGAAAGGUGCUUGCACCUUUCAAGUGAGUGGCGAACGGGUGAGUAACACGUGGACAACCUGCCUCAAGGCUGGGGAUAACAUUUGGAAACAGAUGCUAAUACCGAAUAAAACUCAGUGUCGCAUGACACAAAGUUAAAAGGCGCUUUGGCGUCACCUAGAGAUGGAUCCGCGGUGCAUUAGUUAGUUGGUGGGGUAAAGGCCUACCAAGACAAUGAUGCAUAGCCGAGUUGAGAGACUGAUCGGCCACAUUGGGACUGAGACACGGCCCAAACUCCUACGGGAGGCUGCAGUAGGGAAUCUUCCACAAUGGGCGAAAGCCUGAUGGAGCAACGCCGCGUGUGUGAUGAAGGCUUUCGGGUCGUAAAGCACUGUUGUAUGGGAAGAACAGCUAGAAUAGGGAAUGAUUUUAGUUUGACGGUACCAUACCAGAAAGGGACGGCUAAAUACGUGCCAGCAGCCGCGGUAAUACGUAUGUCCCGAGCGUUAUCCGGAUUUAUUGGGCGUAAAGCGAGCGCAGACGGUUGAUUAAGUCUGAUGUGAAAGCCCGGAGCUCAACUCCGGAAUGGCAUUGGAAACUGGUUAACUUGAGUGCAGUAGAGGUAAGUGGAACUCCAUGUGUAGCGGUGGAAUGCGUAGAUAUAUGGAAGAACACCAGUGGCGAAGGCGGCUUACUGGACUGUAACUGACGUUGAGGCUCGAAAGUGUGGGUAGCAAACAGGAUUAGAUACCCUGGUAGUCCACACCGUAAACGAUGAACACUAGGUGUUAGGAGGUUUCCGCCUCUUAGUGCCGAAGCUAACGCAUUAAGUG
Molecule: ribosomal RNA, 882 nt
Filed under: Leuconostoc mesenteroides
Lineage: Bacteria; Bacillati; Bacillota; Bacilli; Lactobacillales; Lactobacillaceae
Description: bacterial SSU rRNA
Rfam family: Bacterial small subunit ribosomal RNA
Source: RNAcentral